RNAcentral lists this long non-coding RNA (347 nucleotides) under Theobroma cacao (cacao). RNAcentral's name for it is "long non-coding RNA (TCAC_LNC001117)". The record is from RNAcentral. Lineage: Eukaryota; Viridiplantae; Streptophyta; Magnoliopsida; Malvales; Malvaceae.
AUGAUACAAAAAAAAAAAUGAAUUGUAGUUCAUUUCUUCCUAAGUUCAUCUACUAUUUCCAUAUAUCUCGGUGAGAAUCUUGUUGUUGCUCAGGACAUUAGCCUCCAGUUCAAAAGUCCUGGCCAUCAGCUUGUCAAUGAGGGCAUGCAUCUUUUGCUGGAAUAUCUCCAGCUUCUUCCUCAAGGGCAUCUCCUCCUCCUCGGAGGAUGCCCUUUCCCCAGUUUGGAUGCUUGGAUCUCUGGACUCCAUUUUACAAUUACAAUUAUCUGAGAUUGUUUAAGAUAAUUGAAUUUGAUUCAAAUGGUUAAUGGUUCCCUUUAUUUAUAGGCAUGAAUGUUAACUCUUCG